GGGGUGGCCGCCCCCGGGGGGUCACAGCCACCGGGCAGCCGGUGCGCAGCUCCUGGCUGGAAAUCUGGUCCUGCAAACGCAGCGACUGCGGGUAACAGCCCGGCGAAAGGGGAGCGAGGAGGGGAAAAACCUUCUGAACUUGGCCGUGUGGUCAGUGCAGUAUUGUGGGUUGGGGGUUUAGAAAAGCUAUGAACCUGGCUGGAAAGCCUCUCCGUGAUUCAUCCCGUUUUCACCCUGACUUUGGUACCCAGUGUUUCGGGAGAGCAGAUGCGUCUGUGCUUUUUUUUGGCUUUUUGGGGAGCCGUGAUGUGUGCUGGGAAGGGGCUUCUCGACAUGACCGGCCCUUUGCCUGCUCUGCCGCGUGCCUUGCUGGUUUCCCUGGUACUCAGUYCUGCCUAGGCGGACCUGAUGGGAGCCCGCUGGAAAAUUCCUAAGGACUUGAAGGUCCUGCGCCGCGCGGGAGGGAGACCAUGUUCCGCUUGCGAGUCGGUGCCCGCAGCCCGAGUCUCCGUCUGUCCCUACACGUGACAUGGGCUGAGCAUCCCUGUCCUGACAGUGGGAGCGGGCUCUGCUCAUUAGAGAGUGUUUCAAGCAACUCCGUUCAUAGCCCACAGGAACAUGGGAUUUUAAUUUACCCACUUGCUUCAGAGCUCGAAAAUCCACUGCUGCAAUCAGGACAGUUGCAGCUUUGAUUAAAAAUCCUAAAGGCAAGUCUCGUGUGUUUUGCUUCCUCCCUUCUACAAGCAGAAAGAAGAUUGGGUGCAUAAAAUAAUGAUGAGCGAGUUCAAAGCCAUCGCAGAAAGCUGCCCUGAGAGGACGUUCUCUAAUGCGACUCCAGCCCUUUACCGUUCUUCUUCCUCGCUGAGUGAGCGCCAACACAACAGACACAGUCUGGCAAGAGCCACUGCCGACAGUCCCCAAAUGCAGAAAUGCGCCUGCUGCGUGCGUGCGGGCGAAGGAGCCACGGCAAAGGCUUUAUUAGAGCAGCUUCCCUCUGAGACACGAGCAAACAAGCUGAGUUCUUCAGAGCUGCAUAGACUGUGAGGCCAAACGGAUCAUACACACUGACAGCUUGCUUAAUUAUGUGCUGAACUUUUCAGC
This 1101-nucleotide long non-coding RNA is filed under the name Dromaius novaehollandiae (emu). RNAcentral's name for it is "lncRNA (ENSDNVG00000004509.1)". The record is from RNAcentral. Lineage: Eukaryota; Metazoa; Chordata; Aves; Casuariiformes; Dromaiidae.